Molecule: long non-coding RNA, 4089 nt
Organism: Cygnus olor (mute swan)
Lineage: Eukaryota; Metazoa; Chordata; Aves; Anseriformes; Anatidae
Exons: 2
Source: RefSeq, a predicted model, not a curated record
CACCGGUCGGAGCACAUCUGGGAUGAGAAUUUCCACCAGGGCCUGGUACAAGAUGUGAUCGCAGCUUCUCAUCCACUUGAGGAUAGAAAUAAGCCAUCUAAAUCUGUGCUGGGAUGACUGCACACCUUGUCUGCAUCAUGGUUUUGGACACAGGUUCUGUUCCCACUUGUGACAGAGAACUUUCCUGGACCCAAAGGGAGGAACCACUGCCCUGCAGCAGAACGCUGGGCUCUGCAGCUGACAGUGGCAAUCACGAUCAAGAGGGACUUCAUCUUUGUGAGACAGUAAUGGAAUGACAAGCAGCCUGGAAUCAAAUAAAAUAUUCUUAGACUCCUUUGGAAAUGGGGUUAGAUCAAAUUCAGAUGUGUGACUGGACAAUGUGUUGUCACCAGAGCCCCAGAACAUGUCUGAAAUUAACCUUAUUGUCAAACUUCUCAUGCUGCUGAUUCACGUUCAGAAAGUAGCUUUGCUUCACAGAACACGGAAAUUACUUCUGUGCUUUAGAAUAGCAAUUUUUUUUUCCACAACACAACGCUUGGUAAUUUCUAUACGUCUCAGAAGAAAGACCUGUGCCUGCUAAAUUACACUUCGUAGAUUUUCAGUGCAUAUGAGAGAAAUUGCAGAUCAUGCAAGAACAGUGCAAUGAUUUUUUUUUCUGCAAAAUGCGAGGCCACGGGUUCUGUUCUUGAAAGCAAACCACAGCUCCUGAAAUUAGCAGCUGUAUUAAUGUUUGCUUUUAAUUAACCCCUUCUACAGGGAGCAGUACAGCACUCUGGCAGCCACGUACACGGUAGGGGAAGGCAAGAUGUAGCUGAGUUCAGGAGCCUGCCACUCCUCACCUCUGACAACCCAGCCAGCAUCCCUUGCCUGCUUGAACCUUGCUACCGAAAGCACAUUGAGAACAUCUCCAGCUCAUCCGCUGCUUGCAGGACAGCGUUUAAUGCAGUGCAAGAUAACACUGGACUUGACUGGGGUCCCUGGAGCAACACUGCUUCCCGGCUCUUUCAGAAGUAAUGGCACAAGCAGCAGGAAAGGGGAAGCAAGCUGCUUCCCUGUUCACCACUCCAUACCAACCUGGUUCCCAGGCGGCGAGUCCUCAGCCCCAUGAAUACCGACCGGAUGAGUUUUCCGAAGGAAGCGGCGUUCACCGGGUCCAGUUUGUGCUCCUGGCAGUGCCGCAGGUAGUGGUUGUACAGAGAGCUCCUGGGAAGGCUAACGCCUUCCGCUGUCUCAUAGUUGUCCAACAACCACUGGAGCUUUAGGCAUGGAAGACAUAAAUAAAGAAAGAAUAUGAGAAAGUCUAAAGAGGACCGGAACAGGCUACAUAAAACAACACGGAUGCUUAAUGUCAGGAGCACGUAUCUGACAUCAGGAGUUCAAGAGAACUUAACACUGUGUAGUUCAUUCAUAUCAGUGAUAUUUAUGCCAGCUGCAUUUUUAAAAGAGUAAAAGGACACUGACCAAAGCUAAUAACCCAAACAAAAAUGUUAUCAGAUUUUGCAAUAGCACAAAAAUCUGUCUGCCAUCACAGUGUCCAUCUUGCAUUUGGAUUAACUUAUGUGGGGCCAAAAUAAAGCUGUAAGAACUCAUGUUUUCCAGGAAUGAAGAUGUUAAAAUACUACCUAGGAUGAAUAAAUUUUAGGGGAAAUAAAUAUGCUGCAAAGUUUUUAUUAAUUUGAAGAUUGGCGUAUUUGCAGCUGUUCUCCUACCAAUGAAUGGUUAACAAAUGAAAUUUGACAAUCUGAGGGGAUUCUGUUUAUUAUUUUUAACAAAAUUAUUGUCUGAACUUCCUCUGACAUUUCUGUUGAUUAAAGUUUGAAAUUAGAUAUAAAUUAUUUAUAUCCAGACAGUCUUGAGAGAGCAGGUCAGGCACAAAAUGGCAGCACAGGAAUUAAAAUACAAAAAGACAAAAACCCAAUCUCCUUUAAUUGGCUAAACGACACUUCCAGUAUCAAUAAAAUAAGUGUUGUAUUAAGUGAACUUUUGAAGGAACUAGAUUUACAAAUGGAUUAAAAUCAAUAGCUUUGGUAGGAGUCCUUUCACCGUCAUCAAGGACGUUUGGGAUUAACAUUUUUAAGACCUCUCUACAUCCAGACCUCUACACAUGUACGCAUGUACAGGAGGUGUAGCUCCACCGGAUGCAGCUGCAUUCACACCGGAUUAGUGGCAAAAUAAAGUCGGGUUAUGGAUGUCAAAAUAUUGUCUGCAUCAUCUCCUUACAACAAAUAAUUCAAGCAUAUAUUGUAGUUAAGCAUAAACUCAGAAAUUGGUCUAGAAAUCAGUGGGAUUUAACCAUAUACCUGGAUGUAAAAGUUGGCCUGUGCUUAAAUCCUCCCCACUCGUACUGCAUUAACUGGCUUUUUUCUAUUAAUCUUCCCUUGGUGAAACUUUAGGGUCCCAAUUCACCACUAUAUACCUUGAGUUUUAUAUCAGUAACUCUGUGAAAAUACAACCCGCAACAUGCAAUGGCAUCUCUGACACCUCACUCAGCUGAGUUAUUUUCAGUUUCUGUAGUUCACAUCCAACUUUGCUCUCAUACAAAUCCUUUUGAGCUCUAAGCUAUCAGCACCCACGGACGGACGUUCUGUGUAUUUGUCAUUCACGUACUCAAACUUCUGCUACGUCAAAGGAGCUGAAUCCAAAAACGUACAGUUAAAACUAUUUUGUUCAUGAGUUGGCUUUGAUGCAAAGUGUGCUGCAGUUGCAAUGACCGUGUCCAUCGGUUGUGGCGGGCCCUGGAGCUCCCAGAGCUGCAAGAAGAAAAACCUCUUGGUUGCUGCCCCCGUCCUGCUUCUCACUGAGCUGCGCGUCCCCUUCCCACCUUCCUCCAGUCACACGUCCCCUAGGGGCUGCAAUUCACAGCCGGAGAACUUUCCGAAAUCCAAAGGCCAUAGACCUAAGAGGUGGCGUUUGCUCAUACGGUGCCCCUUCAUGCUCCUGUCUGCAGGAAGAGGCAUCACUGGGUGCCCCUGAAAGGCCACUCUGGAGCCCUGGGGCUCCAAUCAACCCAUUCAUUAAGCUGCCUCUAACAAAAUCGGACCCCAGUGUCCAUGACAUAAAAGACCAGCAGGAGCUCUGUUUUUAAUUAGUCCACAUCCAUGUUUGUUUUGGCCCAUCCCCUGUAUUUAAAAAAUUAAUGAUUAAGAAGGUUCAUUGUUUUUAACCAUUUGUUUUACUUAUCCUAUGGAAGAUAAUGAAUGUGAAACAGUUAUUUCUGCUCUUCUAAACCUGUUCUAAUUCCAAGCCUUAAAAAAAUAUUGCAUGUUACUAUGGGAAAUUCAGAUAUAGAUAAAGCCCUCUCAUUUAAAUUUGAUCCUAGACAUUUUUACUCUAAUCCUAGAAUAUUCCCUUCAUCUUCCAGCAUUCUUUUUUUCUGCAAGUGUCUUUUUAUAUUCCUUUAAACAUUACAGAGCUUGACAAUACGAACUCUUGCUAUUGAAUUGGAAUUUUAUUAUGAAAUGCACAAAAGGGAUUAAAAAAUAAAUCUGUGAGAAUAUAAAUAAUUUUCAAAACAUGAUUUUUGCUCUUCCUGCAUUAAUAAUAACAUACUGGGCACUUAAAAUGAGAACAUUAAAUAUUCUUCCCAUUUGUAUUCCUUGUUCUGUUUACUUUUUGAAUUUUGCUUGGUUGUGACAAUGACAAGAUACUCGAAAGUUUCUGUUUAUAUUACGAUCAGGUUCCAAUAAAAUCACUAUGCAGCUGUAUGCUGCUUUGUUUGUGUUAUAAGCACGGCAGGGGAACAUUUCCAUUUUAUUUUUACUUAGACUUUAUUUCUACUGAGUGUCUGUUUUGAUUUAAAAAAACAAAUCUUUAAAAAAAACCUUGAUUCGAGGAGGGCUCUUGAAGGGUGGAAGAAGGGACACAGAGGGCUGUUGGAGAAAGGAAGAAGGCCCAGGUUUUGAGAGGUUUUGUUACGGAUACUUCUGGGAAACUGAACAAAGCAAUGAAGACACACGCUUGUGGUGCACGUGCGGGGGGCUUCAUCCGGGGCUGGGAAGUCCCCGUGCCAUCUGGCUUGGUAUGGACCCUGACCCACACCUCCUUCUUGCUCCCUCUCCCCCUUCUGCAAUUAAAGUUCCUCAAAACCGA